RNAcentral lists this long non-coding RNA (2172 nucleotides) under Dicentrarchus labrax (European seabass). RNAcentral's name for it is "lncRNA (ENSDLAG00005034252.1)". Lineage: Eukaryota; Metazoa; Chordata; Actinopteri; Moronidae. The record is from RNAcentral.
GAGGUGAAUGGGUGAGUAGAGAAGUAGGUGGAGGAAUUUCACUUUAUUGUAUUUGAGUUUAUUUUAAGGAUCACACAAUGUCCAUCAACAUAGACAGAUAUCCACAUUCUUAGGUAAAGAGAUUGUUUUGUUUUUUCAGUUUGGUUUUUGGAUGUAUGGAAGCCCAUUCCUGCCAUAUAAGAUCAAAAGUCAGGAAUUGUAAAACUAAAACAAAUUGUCAGGGAAUGUCAAAAUGAUAUGAAGUAAGAAAAGAAAAAUGUGACUUUGUUAUAAGAGAGGUUUAAAUUCUGACAGAAAAUGGCAUUUAGUGGCAUAUAGCGGUAAAAUUGCAGAUUGCAACAAACUGAAUACCGCUCGCCUUUCAAGUGAAUUAAGAAUGCAAAAGGCCCUAUCUAGAGCUAGUGUUUGGUUUGUCUCUUCUGGGCUACUAUAGAAACAUUGCAUUGCUAUUUUAGAAACAUUGUUUACAGACUAAUCAGUAUAUGUCUUAGUUAGGCAAGCUAUAGCUUGUUUUUGUUAGCCAUAUGGUGGCAUGGCUCUACAGAUGGCAAUGUCACCACUUUGGUCACUUUGGUCCAGACUGAAAUAUCUCAACUGUUGGAUGAAUUAACUUUAAAAAAAGGAUGAACUGUAAUCACUUUAGUGACCCUCUGACUUUGUAUCACGGCAUCAUCAGGUCAGAGCUUUAAUUUGGCCAAUGCUUUGGUUUAUGACCAAAUACUUGCAAAUGACAUUCCCAUCGGUCUCAGUGGUACUUAUUACUAAUUAGCAAACGUUAAAGUGCUACAGUAACAGACUAAGAUUGUAAACAGUUUACUGUUAAAAAUUAACAUGCUAGCAUUAUCAUUGUGAGCAGCUUAGCAUGCUGACGUGAGCAUUAAGUACAGCCUCAUCAGCUUUGCUUCUCUUUUUCCUUUUCUAAUCUUUUAGUUUUUCACUUGUCAAAAGAAGAGACAGAUUAACAUGAAGUAGCUCCUGCUGGUGGCGCUGUUUUUGAACAGUUUUAGAGAUUUCUUUUUUUAAAUUUCCACUUCAUCCCUGCUUCCCCUCCACCACCACCACCACACACACACAGAGCAAACGCACACACAUUCCCUGCCCUGUUUCUGAUGUUGACCUUCGGCCUCUGACCUCUUAGUGGAGCGUGUCGAGGGUCAUCAUUAGACUGGUCUGGAGACUGUGGGAGACAUCCAGCACACAGCGCUCUGACUCUCUAGAUAGGAAGGUUUGAUAGUUGGAUUCUACUGAGGAUCGAUGUAUUGAAUUACCAUUACUGUCUGUCCUGUAAUUCACCAGCUGUUUUAUGGACUUUGAAAGUGUGUUUUUUUUAAGUCACUGAUUUAACUAGUUAAGAUUAUUUGACUUUGAAGGGUGUCAUUAUAACACUGUGUCUAUGCAGGAGGUGAAUAAAAUGAAACUUGUCUAUAUUGGAUCAGACAAAAUGUACUACAACAAGUUUAAGUAAAGUCUGAUUCAUUAGUUGAUCACACUCAACAGGUUAAUAGCUGGUUUGGGGUUAUGAACAAGUUAUGCAAUCUAUCUGGCAGAAAACAAAGGUGAUCAGUAAAAUUAUGACCCAGGUUUACUGACCCACUUCCUGCUUCCCUUUUGACCUGCUGUACUUACUGUAGUGUGCUCUUAUAUCAGCUGUGCUAUAUCAGCUUUCAGUUUGAGCUCCAAAUAAAGUCAUUUAGAUAAGAUGUUUCCAGAUCUCAGAUAUCAACUAUGUUGUAGAGUACAGUGUUAUUAUUACUGAAAGAAACGAUGGCGAAAACUACACAAAUAAUGACAUCCACAUCCUCAGAGAGCCUCAAACCAAACUGGAAAUAAAAGAUUAUUAGGUUGUGUCAUCACAGUCCUAUUGUCCUGGUGGCAUCUGUUGACUUCACACUCUACAAAGACACAAAAAUCUCAUUAUUAAAAAAUUAACAUUAACAAUUAAAAAAAGGAUUGAUCAGAUUGAUUUGAUACAUUAGUAGUUAUGUGACAUCUCUCAGUUUUGCAGCCCGCUUCUAUAUGGGAAUGAUGUCGCCAAAUAAAUAAUGCUGACAGGAAUGUGUUUACAAUAGACAACAACACCAAAAAAAGUAGCAUUUGUUAAGGAGGCUAAACUGCUGGCAGACUGUGCAGCUGACCAAAAGUUAAAAAUAAGGCUGAGGUUCUAACAGAGAG